CAGUGAUGCCAAGGUGAUUGAUGCCCAGGCUGGUUUGGAAAGUGGCAUCAGUGCCAUCCUGGGUGCUCUGGCAGGUGUCAAUAUGAUCUCUGGAGCUG
Non-coding RNA from Chloroflexi bacterium RBG_16_47_49, 98 nucleotides. The record is from Rfam. NCBI's taxonomy places the organism in Bacteria, Bacillati, Chloroflexota.